GCCUGAGUGGCGGAAUUGGUAGACGCGCACGACUCAAACUCGUGUUCUUUGGAGUGUGGGUUCGAUUCCCACCUCAGGUA
RNAcentral lists this transfer RNA (80 nucleotides) under Paenimyroides baculatum. RNAcentral's name for it is "Flavobacterium sp. SNL9 tRNA-Leu". It matches the Rfam family "tRNA". From Rfam's summary of the family: Transfer RNA (tRNA) molecules are approximately 80 nucleotides in length. Their secondary structure includes four short double-helical elements and three loops (D, anti-codon, and T loops). Lineage: Bacteria; Pseudomonadati; Bacteroidota; Flavobacteriia; Flavobacteriales; Flavobacteriaceae. The record is from RNAcentral.